Molecule: ribosomal RNA, 801 nt
Filed under: Pseudothysanoes cf. leechi BHJ-2012
Lineage: Eukaryota; Metazoa; Arthropoda; Insecta; Coleoptera; Curculionidae
Description: eukaryotic LSU rRNA
Rfam family: Eukaryotic large subunit ribosomal RNA
Source: RNAcentral
CGUUUAGGGGUAAACCUGAGAAACCCGAAAGGUCGAAGGGAGAAAUUCAUUCGCGUUUCGUAACUGGCGACGGUGGGGAUCGAGUGACGGGAAACGUGUGUGUUCGCGCGCACAUGUUUUCCGCGCCUCUCCGUCGUCGAACCGGAGACGAACGUGUGCACUUUUCUCCUGGUAGGACGUCGCGAUCCGUUGGGUGUCGGUCUACGGCCCGUGGUGGAGCCCAUUCGACCGGCUUGUUCGGUUCGGAUGGACCCUCGGUGUCUCCUGGCCGACCCGCUCGACGGUACACGAACGGUUCGAGGUCGCUCGUUUUUCGGAACGAGCGUCCGACCGGCGACAAGUGCGCCGGAUGCUCGUCGACGAUCGGACCUGGUGCCGAUCGCGACCUCCGGUGGCUGCUGGUCGCCGUGUUCCCGGACAGAUCGAAACCGAUCUGCGACGCUAUAGCUUUGGGUACUUUCAGGACCCGUCUUGAAACACGGACCAAGGAGUCUAGCAUGUGCGCGAGUCAUUGGGAAUCAUUAAACCUAAAGGCGCAAUGAAAGUGAAGGUUCUCUUCGCGAGGACCGAGGGAAGACGGGCGGUUAGACUUAAAAAGGAACCGCUCCGCACUCCCGGGGCGUCUCGUUCUCAUCGCGAGAAGAGGCGCACCAAGAGCGUACACGCUGGGACCCGAAAGAUGGUGAACUAUGCCUGGUCAGGACGAAGUCAGGGGAAACCCUGAUGGAGGUCCGUAGCGAUUCUGACGUGCAAAUCGAUCGUCGGAACUGGGUAUAGGGGCGAAAGACUAAUCGAACCAUC